UACGUAGGGGGCAAGCGUUAUCCGGAAUUAUUGGGCGUAAAGGGUGCGUAGGUGGUUUUGUAAGCGCGAGGUGAAAGGCAAUAGCUCAACUAUUGUAAGCCUUGCGAACUGUAAGACUUGAGUGCAGGAGAGGAAAGCGGAAUUCCUAGUGUAGCGGUGAAAUGCGUAGAUAUUAGGAGGAACACCAGUGGCGAAGGCGGCUUUCUGGACUGUAACUGACACUGAGGCACGAAAGCGUGGGGAGCAAACAGG
RNAcentral lists this ribosomal RNA (252 nucleotides) under uncultured bacterium. RNAcentral describes it as "partial 16S ribosomal RNA". It matches the Rfam family "Bacterial small subunit ribosomal RNA", at positions 524 to 776 of the family's 1533-position model. The record is from RNAcentral.